This is a long non-coding RNA of Tachysurus fulvidraco (yellow catfish), 505 nucleotides long. RefSeq lists it as uncharacterized. The transcript is spliced from 4 exons. Lineage: Eukaryota; Metazoa; Chordata; Actinopteri; Siluriformes; Bagridae. The record is from RefSeq and is a predicted model, not a curated record.
GUCAUAUUAACAUACAUGUUACAGCCCCCUUUUCUGCUGUAUAUAAAGACAGAUUUCAGUUGCAGACUUUGGAGAAUCAGAUCAUCCAGACUUAACUUCGAAACAACCAUGAUGAAGAAGGCCGUGCUUUUGUGUUUUGUCCUGUUUGCGGUCAUUUCUGUGACCACCGCUAUUCAAUGCAAGAAACAGUUUCAGGAUUCCUUAACGUGUCGUGAUAAGAUUGAUCGUAAUUCGUACUUUUCUGGACAGACCUGGGUGAACAGCAAUUGUCAAUUUUGCAAAUGCGAGCCUGGAGCUCUGACCUGCUGUAUGGGAAAACGAGAUGCAGCUGGAAAGUGCAAACUUGAAUAGCAGCACCGCUGGAAAAGAAAUCCAGACAUUUACAAUGAGGGAUUUGAGUCUCCAUGUUGUUCAACUGUGAUUAAUCAAAUGAUGAGACUCAUUUUAUACAAUGUCAUGAAACAAAUAUGAUUCAUAAUAAAGCAACAAUGCAUUAUGCAAAUUA